RNAcentral lists this ribosomal RNA (240 nucleotides) under uncultured Rikenella sp. Its description in RNAcentral is "partial 16S ribosomal RNA". It matches the Rfam family "Bacterial small subunit ribosomal RNA", at positions 796 to 1041 of the family's 1533-position model. The record is from RNAcentral. Lineage: Bacteria; Pseudomonadati; Bacteroidota; Bacteroidia; Bacteroidales; Rikenellaceae.
CACACUGUAAACGAUGAUAACUCGCUGUCGGCGAUACACAGUCGGUGGCCAAGCGAAAGCAUUAAGUUAUCCACCUGGGGAGUACGACCGCAAGGUUGAAACUCAAAGGAAUUGACGGGGGCCCGCACAAGCGGAGGAACAUGUGGUUUAAUUCGAUGAUACGCGAGGAACCUUACCCGGGCUCGAACGGUGCAUGAAUAUAUGAGAGAUUGUAUAGUCUUCGGACAUGCAUCGAGGUGC